CUUGAUGCAGGUAUUUCAGUGCCCUGCUUAGACUGAUAGUGUUACUUUGGGAAGAGAAGGCAGCUCUGGAAAUUGUUUGAGUUCAAAAGGAAGGAGAAUCACUUUAAUCAUUCAGGCUCUUAGGAAACCUAAGACCCAGUGGGACUGUCUUUUCAUAAUCAAGACUGUCCCAGCCGAUCAGGGGCAUUUAAAGCAAGAAAAUAGCCAAGCAAAGCCUUGCAGUGCUGAAGAGGGCCCCAAAUUGUGCAAAUGAAAUUACUACCUCCCCUAAGCUAAAAAAUGUACAGAAGAGGUUGGGGCUCUGAAUUUCAGAAGGGGACUUUGUAUUUGGAACUUCGCUCUCUUCCUCCAGAAAUAUGUGAAUGGGUUUGGGCCAGAUUCUCAGCUAGUGUAAAUCAGCAUAUUUCCAUGACCUAGUGCUAGUUUAGCAAGAUGAUAUUUAGGACCAGAUCCUGCAUCUCUCUCUGACUUCUGUGGCAUUGCGACCGACAUCACAACUUCAGGAUUGGACCUUAAUCCUUUUCCCAUUCAUGUAAAGCACUCUAAAUGGUUAGUGAUUACAAUGUCUUUCAGUGCUGGCCUGAACUUUAUUUUAUUCUGGAAUUCAUUAUUUUGGUUGUUCCGCAUCUGCUUUCUAUCAUGUUUUUCCUUUGGCAAUUUCACUGGCUUCACUUGUAUUUGUAACUUGUAAUUUCACCAGUGUGGUCCAGCAUUGUGAGACCUGCCUUGAGAAGGUCCCCACUUUUGCUCACUAAAAUAGAUGUCUGAUUCCUAUUAAAGUUUCUCUGCCAGAGCCAAAUAGUGGGCACAUGUCUGGAUAAAGGAUUAUUUCAGCGAAGGUCUCUGAGGACUCCGAGAGGAUAUCUGUUGAGUGUGGUCUAUCAAAGGCAGUCUACUCUGAGAACUCCAGUUACAGGCUGGGCUGAUGGAUGUCAGCUGAAGUGUAUGAGGAUACAUGGGACACAUCUUGGGCCUGAUUCCCCCCCUGCCUCCCCUCCCACCAUUGACUUCAACUGCCAUGACCAUGGACAGCAGCCAGACAGGCACAGCAGACCGUAACUAAGAAGGAUUUACACAACACACUGUAAUUGCAGGCAUUAUAGCAUGUGGGGUCAAAACACACUUGUAAAAAUGUGCCCUAUGGAGUUUUCCAAACCCAUUAGGAUAGAUUGGGUAAAUAAAGUAUGUCCUCAAAA
Molecule: non-coding RNA, 1196 nt
Organism: Chrysemys picta bellii (western painted turtle)
Lineage: Eukaryota; Metazoa; Chordata; Testudines; Emydidae
Source: RefSeq, a predicted model, not a curated record